UGCAGUCGCACGAGAAAGUGGAGCAAUCCAUGAGUAAAGUGGCGUACGGGUGAGUAACACGUGGAUAAUCUGCCCUUUAGUGGGGAAUAACCCUGGGAAACCGGGGCUAAUACCGCAUAAGCCUGAGAAGGGAAAGCAGCAAUGCGCUGAAGGAGGAGUCCGCGGCCGAUUAGCUAGUUGGUAGGGUAAUGGCCUACCAAGGCAAUGAUCGGUAGCCGGCCUGAGAGGGCACACGGCCACACUGGCACUGAAACACGGGCCAGACUCCUACGGGAGGCAGCAGUGGGGAAUCUUGCACAAUGGAGGAAACUCUGAUGCAGCGACGCCGCGUGAGCGAUGAAGCCCUUCGGGGUGUAAAGCUCUUUCGACAGGAACGAUAAUGACGGUACCUGGAGAAGAAGCUGCGGCUAACUACGUGCCAGCAGCCGCGGUAAUACGUAGGCAGCAAGCGUUGUUCGGAAUUACUGGGCGUAAAGAGUGUGUAGGCGGUUCUCUAAGUUCGGUGUGAAAUCUCCCGGCUCAACUGGGAGGGUGCGCCGGAAACUGGAGGGCUUGAGUAUGGGAGAGGAAGGCGGAAUUCCUGGUGUAGCGGUGAAAUGCGUAGAUAUCAGGAGGAACACCUGCGGUGUAGACAGCUUUCUGGACCAUCACUGACGCUGAGACACGAAAGCGUGGGUAGCAAACAGGAUUAGAUACCCUGGUAGUCCACGCCCUAAACGAUGCAUACUUGGUGUGAGCCGUUCAGUCGGUUCGUGCCGGAGCUAACGCGUUAAGUAUGCCGCCUGGGGAGUACGGUCGCAAGGCUGAAACUCAAGAAUUGACGGGGGCCCGCACAAGCGGUGGACAUGGGUUUAAUUCGACGCACGCGAAGAACUUACCUGGGCUCGAACGGCCGGUCAACGAUCGUGGAA
RNAcentral lists this ribosomal RNA (911 nucleotides) under uncultured Bacillota bacterium. RNAcentral describes it as "bacterial SSU rRNA". It matches the Rfam family "Bacterial small subunit ribosomal RNA", at positions 56 to 1006 of the family's 1533-position model. Lineage: Bacteria; Bacillati; Bacillota. The record is from RNAcentral.